UAUAAGGUCUAACCUGCCCAAUGAGGAUUUAAAUGGCCGCAGUAUUUUGACUGUGCAAAGGUAGCAUAAUUAUUAGUUUUUUAAUUGAAAACUUGUAUGAAGGGUUGGACGAAAUAAAAACUGUCUUUAUUUAAAUAAAGUUAGAAUUUAACUUUUAAGUUAAAAGGCUUAAAUAUUAAUAAUAGACGAGAAGACCCUAUAGAUCUUUAUUUAAUUAAUAUUUUAAUAAUUUAGGAUUAUUUUAAUUUAAAAUUUUAAUUAAAUUUUAUUGGGGUAAUAUAAAGAUUUGAUUAAUUCUUUUUAUUAAUUACAUUAAUUUAUGAAUAAAUGAUCCAAUAUUAUUGAUUAUAAGAUUAAGUUACCUUAGGGAUAACAGCGUAAUUUUUUUGGAGAGCUCAUAUCGAUAAAAAAGUUUGCGACCUCGAUGUUGGAUUAAAAAUUAGCUUGGGUGCAGAAGCUCAAGAUUUUGGUCUGUUCGACCAUUAAAUUUUUACAUGAUCUGAGUUCAGACCGGCGUAAGCCAGGUCGGUUUCUAUCUUUAUCUAAUUAAAAUAUUUUAGUACGAAAGGACCAGAUAUUUAAUAUAAUAAUAUUUAUUUUUUGAACAAUAUU
This 612-nucleotide ribosomal RNA is filed under the name Cicindela duponti. RNAcentral describes it as "partial 16S ribosomal RNA". It matches the Rfam family "Bacterial large subunit ribosomal RNA", at positions 1844 to 2739 of the family's 2925-position model. Lineage: Eukaryota; Metazoa; Arthropoda; Insecta; Coleoptera; Carabidae. The record is from RNAcentral.